CUCUUCCAGUAGCUGCAGUGGCUAUGGCAGUGGCAGAGGAUUUUAAUUAGGAAACAAAGUUUAGCAGGAGAGGAGAGCCAGAGAAGUGACAGCAAAGCUACAGCUUACAACAGAUUUGUGAACUUAGCCAAGCACAGUGGUGGCAGGACCUAGCUGCUACAAAGACAUGUUUUAGACAAAUACUUAUGUGUAAGGACAAGAAACUCUAGGACUAUAUUUGUGA
This is a long non-coding RNA of Cebus imitator (Panamanian white-faced capuchin), 223 nucleotides long. RefSeq lists it as uncharacterized. The transcript has 3 exons. The record is from RefSeq and is a predicted model, not a curated record. Lineage: Eukaryota; Metazoa; Chordata; Mammalia; Primates; Cebidae.